Molecule: ribosomal RNA, 465 nt
Filed under: uncultured bacterium
Lineage: Bacteria
Description: partial 16S ribosomal RNA
Rfam family: Bacterial small subunit ribosomal RNA
Source: RNAcentral
GACGAACGCUGGCGGCGUGCUUAACACAUGCAAGUCGAACGGAAAGGCCCUGCUUGCAGGGUACUCGAGUGGCGAACGGGUGAGUAACACGUGGGUGAUCUGCCCUGCACUUCGGGAUAAGCCUGGGAAACGGGGUCUAAUACCGGAUAGGAGCCAUUUUUAGUGUGAUGGUUGGAAAGUUUUUUCGGUGUAGGAUGAGCUCGCGGCCUAUCAGCGUGUUGGUGGGGUAAUGGCCUACCAAGGCGGCGACGGGUAGCCGGCCUGAGAGGGUGGACGGCCACAUUGGGACUGAGAUGCGGCCCAGACUCCGACGAGAGGCAGCAGUGGGGAAUAUUGCACCAUGGGCGCCAGCCUGAUGCAGCGACGCCGCGUGGGGGAUGACGGCCUUCGGGUUGUAAACUCCUUUCGCUAGGGACGAAGCUUUUUGUGACGGUACCUAGAUAAGAAGCACCGGCUAACUACGUG